This 253-nucleotide ribosomal RNA is filed under the name uncultured bacterium. RNAcentral's name for it is "partial 16S ribosomal RNA". It matches the Rfam family "Bacterial small subunit ribosomal RNA", at positions 524 to 776 of the family's 1533-position model. The record is from RNAcentral.
UACGUAGGGGGCAAGCGUUGUCCGGAUUUACUGGGCGUAAAGAGCGUGUAGGCGGCCAAGUAGGUCCGUUGUGAAAACUGGAGGCUUAACCUCCAGACGUCGACGGAAACCGCGUGGCUAGAGUCCGGAAGAGGAGAGUGGAAUUCCUGGUGUAGCGGUGAAAUGCGCAGAUAUCAGGAAGAACACCAAUGGCGAAGGCAGCUCUCUGGGACGGUACUGACGCUGAGACGCGAAAGCGUGGGGAGCGAACAGG